Molecule: long non-coding RNA, 313 nt
Filed under: Panax ginseng (ginseng)
Lineage: Eukaryota; Viridiplantae; Streptophyta; Magnoliopsida; Apiales; Araliaceae
Description: long non-coding RNA (PGIN_LNC004452)
Source: RNAcentral
GCCAUUCUUCUAUAUCCAGUUGUUGAAGUUUGACUAAUAUUUUCUCUGCGAGUCCAGUGUAAUAUUCGAAGAUGAAGGUUUCUACUUGAGGUGGCUCGCAACAGAUUACAAUAGCGGCCAAUCCUCUGCUCUCUCUUCGUUAAGAAAGGAAAAGUUUGUAAUACAUUGGGUUUUAUUUUUAUGGUUUUGGAUGUACAAGUAAUUUUUUUUGUUUGGGUUAUUGGACUUACUGACUUAGAGUAAGUGAAUAUUUUGAAUUUGAAUUGAUUUUUGUUGUUAGAUCCCAAAUAUUUGAAUUUGAAUUAUUAUUUAU